This is a non-coding RNA of Cinara cedri, 238 nucleotides long. The record is from the annotation of a GenBank genome assembly. Lineage: Eukaryota; Metazoa; Arthropoda; Insecta; Hemiptera; Aphididae.
CGAAAACGGCCGCGGAGUCGCGGUAUUUUUACCGUCGUUACCGCCCGGUAACCACUGUAGUAGGUCAGUACAGCGCGAUUUAAUUUAAUUUUAUGUCCGCGUGUAAUAAACUCUGAUCAUUACGUGUAGACUAUUUCUUCGGGAACGCGACCUGAAAUUCCGUCUUAUAAAAUUAUAAAACCGCUUCAAUCGUACAAAGCUAAUUGCGGUUUUUAUACACAAUAGUUUGGUAAUGCUU